UGUCCGAUGCCACGUCGACGAUAGCUUUAUUGGCAAUGAUCAUCGAUGCUACAUUGGACAUAAACGGAUGUUUGUGUUUCGCUAUUCUGAUAGGAACCUGUGGAUCUUGAGUCUCUUGUGGUCUACGGAGCCAUUUCGGCGAUUACAUUU
Small nucleolar RNA from Brassica oleracea var. oleracea, 150 nucleotides. It matches the Rfam family "Small nucleolar RNA snoR2/U65". NCBI's taxonomy places the organism in Eukaryota, Viridiplantae, Streptophyta, Magnoliopsida, Brassicales, Brassicaceae. The record is from Rfam.